CUUUGGUUUAAAAAAGAAUUUAGCCUGUAUGUACUGUUUUAACCACUGGAAGAAUGACAGAUGACAAAGACGUGCUUCGAGAUGUGUGGUUUGGACGAAUUCCAACUUGCUUCACUCUGUAUCAGGAUGAGAUAACUGAAAGGGAAGCAGAACCAUACUAUUUGCUUUUGCCAAGAGUAAGUUAUUUGACGUUGGUAACUGACAAAGUGAAAAAGCACUUUCAGAAAGUUACGAGACAAGAAGACAUUAGUGAGAUAUGGUUUGAAUAUGAAGGCACACCACUGAAAUGGCAUUAUCCAAUUGGUUUGCUAUUUGAUCUUCUCGCAUCAAGUUCAGCUCUUCCUUGGAACAUCACAGUACAUUUUAAGAGUUUUCCCGAAAAGGUCCUUCUGCACUGUCCAUCUAAGGAUGUAAUCGAAGCUCAUUUUAUGUCCUGUAUGAAAGAAGCUGAUGCUUUAAAGCAUAAAAGUCAAGUAAUCAAUGAAAUGCAGAAGAAAGAUCACAAGCAGCUCUGGAUGGGAUUACAAAAUGACAGAUUUGACCAGUUUUCGACCAUCAAUCGAAAACUCAUGGAAUAUCCUGCAGAAGAAAAUGGAUUUCGUUAUAUCCCCUUUAGAAUAUAUCAGACAACAACUGAACGACCUUUCAUUCAGAAGCUGUUUCGUCCUGUGGCUGCAGAUGGACAAUUACAUACACUAGGAGAUCUCCUCAAAGAAGUUUGUCCUUCUGCUAUUGCUCCUGAAGAUGGGGAAAAAAAGAAUCAAGUGAUGAUUCAUGUAAUUGAGCCAAUGUUGGAAACUCCUCUGCAGUGGCUGAGUGAACAUCUGAGCUACCCGGAUAAUUUUCUUCAUAUUAGUAUCAUCCUGCAACCAACAGAUUGAAGGAUCAACUAUUUGCCUGAACGGAAUUGCCCUUAAACAGGAUUUACCAGAGCAUGUCACCCUUCUGCUUCAAUCAGGUUUGGUGGAGGCAGCCUGACCAGAAACACUGCGCCUGCUGCAAGCCAAACAGGAACAAGAUUCCAUGUCAGAUAAGGCAAUUGAGUUGGUCUUCCUUUGCAUCACCACUCUUUUCCUCCACUGCCGUCAGUAAACCUCAGCUGUGACAUGAAAGACUUUACAGGACCACUGCAAGUCUUCUGUUUUCUUGUAAAAUAUAACGAAGCCAAAACCUCUGGCCUAAGAAGAUGUGCCACUUGAUUUGUAUUUCUGAUUAACAAAUAAACAGAGAUAUUUCCUAAGGUGACCGUGGUUGAACUUUAGCUUGAGAGAGUGGAAACAUUGGUUUAAUUUUCAAGAGAAUUAGACUUAAGAAAGUAAAAGAGAAAUUCUGUUAUCAAUAACUUGCAGUAAUUUUUUUGUAAACGAUUGAAUUACAGUAAACCCAUCUUUCCUUAAUGAGAAUUUCCUAUGUUUACAGUCUGUCCAUUGGUAUGCAAACAAUCUUGAAACUUUGAUAAUGAACAGUGAGAGAUUUUUAAAUAAAGCCUCUAAAUAUG
Molecule: RNA transcript, 1498 nt
Organism: Propithecus coquereli (Coquerel's sifaka)
Lineage: Eukaryota; Metazoa; Chordata; Mammalia; Primates; Indriidae
Gene name: autophagy protein 5 pseudogene
Exons: 1
Source: RefSeq, a predicted model, not a curated record